RNAcentral lists this ribosomal RNA (327 nucleotides) under uncultured eukaryote. Its description in RNAcentral is "partial 18S ribosomal RNA". It matches the Rfam family "Eukaryotic small subunit ribosomal RNA", at positions 1470 to 1796 of the family's 1831-position model. The record is from RNAcentral.
CCCUUAGACGUUCUGGGCCGCACGCGCGCUACACUGACGGAGCCAGCGAGUAUAAACCUUGGCCGAGAGGUCUGGGAAAUCUUGUGAAACUCCGUCGUGCUGGGGAUAGAGCAUUGUAAUUAUUGCUCUUCAACGAGGAAUUCCUAGUAAGCGCAAGUCAUCAGCUUGCGUUGAUUACGUCCCUGCCCUUUGUACACACCGCCCGUCGCUACUACUGAUUGGAUGUUUAAGCGAGGUUCUCGAACUGCUAGCGACUUAGCUUCGGUGAGGUCGCAGUGUGGGAAGUGAACCUAGCUUUGGUGUCUAGAGGAAGUAAAAGUCGUAACA